GUUGGACACAACUCAAGUGACUUAGCAUGCACAGAGGGUUUUAAAACAAUGGAAUGACAAUUUGAUCUAAUUUGUAGCCUGAUUGGGUUGUUGGGUCUGUUCUGUGGGCUGUGGGCUGCGGGGUGGGGAGGCAUGAGGAGAAGUGGGAAUUGCAGAUCAGGAGGGAAAAGAGGCUGCUUGACCAGGCUGGUAGCUGAGGAGCAUAGCUGGGCAGGUGAGCAUCUGCUCAUAAGGACAGGCCACCCACUUGGGGUUUGUUGACUGACUAAUUGAGCAGAAGAGACCCCAAUCCUAGGGCUACCCCCAGUGGGCAGGGCACCCUUGCCAUCAGCUUCAGUGCUGAUGGGUUAACAAAACUCUCUAAGACACCUGUGCUUGAGAAGUCUUGUGACACCCAGCAUCUUGCUGGGUCGCUGGGGUUGAUGGCUGUCUGGAUGGACCCAGAAAAAGAGUGUCCAAGAGGAGGAGGAACUCUCAGAGAGUCAUACGUGUGGCGGCCAGCGUCACUGGGAUAAAGUCAAGGUGUCGGCAAGGCUGGUUCUUCCUGAGGCCUCUAGGGAAGAAGCUGAUCCUCACCACCUCUGGCUUCCAGAGUCUGCUAGCAUUCCCUGGCUUGUGGCCACAUCACUCCAGUGUCUGCUUCUACUGUCUCCUCACUUUCCACCUCUCCAAUCUGCUGCCCCGCCUCCUCUUAUAAGACCCUGAUGCCUGCCUCGGGCCCAUCUGGAUAAUCGAGAAUAAUCUCCCCAUCUCAAAAUCCUUAAUGUAAUCACUCCUGCAAAUUCCCCUUUGCCGUGUCGGGUAACAUUCAGAGGCUCUGUGGAUCAGGACAUGGAUAUCUGAUUUCCAGUAUUCUGCCUGCCACACACCUCCAUCCAUCACAGCAUCUCAUCUUCACGGUGGCUCUGGGAGGCUGAAACACUGAGGCUCAGGAAGGUUACUUGAUUUUCUGAAAGUCACACAGCUAGAAGGUUGAAGGAAAGGGGAAGUGGACUCCAGGUCUGUGUGAUCCUAACUGAAUUUAACAGGCUACAUAGUCAUUUAAGAGGCGAACAAGGCACUUGCAUCAUCAAAGAGGUCUUUGGUGUUUUCCUUCUGAGAUUUCUGCUCUUCAACGUGCCCGGGCUGGCCUUUGGCCCUCCUUCUUUUCUUGGGGGUUAAGAUUUGAGUGUCUGUCUGAGCACAAAGGGAACACCUGCAGCCUGUCCUAGUUCGAGGAGUGACCCACAUUCGAAGAAGGAGCUCGGCAAGCCAUGCUGGGUCUCUGGUCUUCACGGCAGUUCAAGGGUUGCUCACACGCACGCUCACAUGUGGUUUGGUAAAUGAUUUUCUCAGUUA
This is a long non-coding RNA of Bos taurus (domestic cattle), 1338 nucleotides long. The record is from Ensembl. Lineage: Eukaryota; Metazoa; Chordata; Mammalia; Artiodactyla; Bovidae.